UGAGGGAUAUUGCACAAUGGGGGAAACCCUGAUGCAGCGACGCCGCGUGGGUGAAGAAGGCUUUCGGGUCGUAAAACCCUUUUACAGGUGACGAGAAAGGACGGUAGCCUGUGAAUAAGUCUCGGCUAACUACGUGCCAGCAGCCGCGGUAAAACGUAGGAGACGAGCGUUAUCCGGAAUUAUUGGGCGUAAAGGGCUCGUAGGCGGUUUGUCGCGUCGGGAGUGAAAACUCAGGGCUUAACCCUGAGC
This 249-nucleotide ribosomal RNA is filed under the name uncultured Anaerolineae bacterium. Its description in RNAcentral is "partial 16S ribosomal RNA". It matches the Rfam family "Bacterial small subunit ribosomal RNA", at positions 355 to 620 of the family's 1533-position model. Lineage: Bacteria; Bacillati; Chloroflexota; Anaerolineae. The record is from RNAcentral.